AUUUUGAAAAUAAAGGAUAUAUGUGCUCCCACCAUGUAGAUCCAUGUAUCAAUAGAACCCCCUGAUGGGUGUUGUUUCCCAUCUACCUACAUUUUGGAAAGAUAUACAUGUGAUGCUUAUUCAGAAAUGUAACGACUAGACCUGUUCAUUUUUCAGAUGGCCCAUCUGGUCUGCUCAAGCCCAGCAUAUUUGUAAUGGGUUUGGGCUAUAAUUUUCAACCUAGCA
Molecule: long non-coding RNA, 225 nt
Filed under: Elaeis guineensis (African oil palm)
Lineage: Eukaryota; Viridiplantae; Streptophyta; Magnoliopsida; Arecales; Arecaceae
Description: long non-coding RNA (EGUI_LNC058540)
Source: RNAcentral